CCUGAAUGGCGGGCGGUGAAACAGAGAGCCCAGCAUGGGUCUCUGACUCUGCCUCCCACAG
RNAcentral lists this microRNA precursor (61 nucleotides) under Mus caroli (Ryukyu mouse). RNAcentral describes it as "microRNA 6952 (MGP_CAROLIEiJ_G0007428.1)". The record is from RNAcentral. Lineage: Eukaryota; Metazoa; Chordata; Mammalia; Rodentia; Muridae.